AGGACCUGGAGGACCUGGCCCUCUAGAGACCGCGCCCCUGCGGACUUUUAAUCCGUAGGUUCCGGGUUCGAGCCCCGGGCGCCCUACCA
This 89-nucleotide transfer RNA is filed under the name Sphaerisporangium siamense. RNAcentral describes it as "tRNA-Lys". Lineage: Bacteria; Bacillati; Actinomycetota; Actinomycetes; Streptosporangiales; Streptosporangiaceae. The record is from RNAcentral.